UAGUAUAAUUAUUAUAAAUUUACUAUAUAUUUUGGUAACUCUUUUACAUAUUUUUUUUAUAUUUUCUGCUAGAAUUAUAAAUUUUUUCUUUUCAUCGUCAAAUUUAUAAUUAAAAGACUAUUAUUACACAAACUCAAAUCUCCGAUUAUGACAUCAAUCAUUUGGAAUUCGAAAAAAUAUCAACCAUUUCAAGUUUUUGAAAUUCACAAGCUAGUAAAAGUACAUUAGGUGUUUAAUUGACAACUUUGAGGUCACGGGUUCAAACCUCAUUGACAUAUGUAGGGUGUGUGAGUUAUUAAUAAUUUUUUUUUUUUAAAAAGUACAUUAGGUCACUAGCUAUUAAACAUAUAUACCUACUUUUUUCAAUACCGCAUGUCAAGACGAACAUGUAGUACUUCAAAAUGGUCUGCAAGAUCAUAACUAAAACUGAUACAAAAAAGAAAAAAGAAAAAAAGAGACAAAACCCAAAUGAACCGAUGUUAAUUAAACAAUACAUGUGAUUAUAAGGAAGCAGUCGAAAUUCGGGUCAUGAAUUCUAAAAGUAUUUUUUUUUUUUGGGUAUGAAACUGUAAAUUGUGGAGAAGAGUCAAGUUUAGGGAAGAAGUAAUCGUUUAGAUGGUUUUAGGGUAGGAGAUUAGAUUUAUAAUUGUGAUUUCUUUUUCUUUUUUAAUAAUACAUGCCUAAAAUAUUUGAUGUGAAACAUAAAUUAAUAUGAGUGUAUAUUAAGAGAUUAGGGGUGUGUAUUUACACUACCAGGACAAUCACUUUAGCCGACGAAAAAUUUUUGUCGGCCUGUUAGCUUAAUUCAUCGGCUAAGAUCUUAGCCGACGAGCCAUCGUCGGCUAAGAUUUCGUCGGGAAAAGGUCGUCUGUGAUGACUUUCGCCGACGAAAAAAAAAAUUUCGUCGGCUAUAGUCCCGCAGUUUAGCCGACGAAAAACAUGUCGUCGGUUCUUUUCCCAGACUUUAUCCGACGAAACAAUUAAGAUAUUCGUCUGCUAAAGUCUGUAAUAAAAAAAAAUUUCCCAGACUAUAACCGACGAAAUAUAGUAUGUUUCGUCGGCUAAACCUUAUAAAAAUAAUUUAAAAAAUAACUCUAGCCGACAAAAUAUAGUCUGUUUCAUCGGCUAAACCUUAUAAAAAAUUUUAAAAAAUAACUAUAGCCGACGAAAUAUAGUCUGUUUCGUCGGCUAAACCUUAUAAAAAAAAUUUAAAAAAUAACUAUACCCGACGAAAUAUGCCAUAAUUCGUCGGCUAAACCUUAUAAAAAAAUUUAAAAAUACUAUAGCCGACGAAUAAACCUUUAAAUAUCGUCGGCUAAACCUUUAAAUAUCGUCGGCUAAAGUUGCUGGUUUUUGAAAAAAAAAACUGCAGAAACUUUCGGCCACCUCCAAUCACCACCAAAAUUUGACAGAAUCUUCCUCUCAACAUUUCGAACAACUUUCUAGAAGAAGUCGAAGCCCAAUUCUAAGCCUAAACAGGUCAAUUGAAUCAAAAUAUAAAAAUCCCCAAUUUUAAACCCUAAAAACUUCAAAUCUUCGAUUCUCCUCACACACACCGAAUCGAGCUACCAAAUUCUAGGAGAAUGUAGUACUAAUCAAAGUCAACUUAUCCAUAUAUAGAACUCACCAAAUGGUGACCUGAGGAAGGAGAAAUUCGAUCGACACCGAAUCCGAACCGACGGAGUUUUGGAGCUCGAUUUAUCUCUCACGGCGGCGCCACUCGAUGUACCACCUGUCCAGCAAUGAAGUAGAGACGACGGCGAUAGUUUUGGGACAAGUGUGGCGGUCUCCGGUGGCUUCACGGCGGAGCUAGGCCGAGAAGAAAAUCUGGCAGGCGAAAUAGAUUUCUUACCAUCCACCUUCGGUAAUAUAUAGAACUUUAGCCGACGAAAUUCUUUAUUUUCGUCGGCUAAACUCUUUUGAAAAUUUUGAAAAUUUUAGUUGACCGCCAAAAAAUUUUGGUUGAAAAUUUUGAAAAUUUUUCGACUUUAGCCGACGACUUUUCAUAUAUUUUCGUCGGCUAAAGUCCUUUGAAAAUUUUCCUCCAAAUUUGGUUUACCGCCCAAAAAUUUUUGUCCUUCGCCGACGACUUUUUUAAUAUCUCGUCGGCUAAAAUCUAUAAACUCACGAAAACGCUUAUAUCUCCCUCUAUAUUACGUAGUUUGGUCAAACCUUCCACACGAAAAACUUUCACGUAGAUGAGACGCAACCGCCUAUAUAAAAAUUUUGAGACAUUUACCUUCCGACGAUAGGGCUUCCCAUAGUGAAUAAUAACGGUAAAUAGGGUUGACCACUACUAUCGGCACCGAGACUUUACCCGAUUUACGUGAUUUUUGAACCAUAGCCGUAUUUCACCAUUCUGAACACAUCUUAUUUCAGGAGAUUUUUGAUAAUUUUGCUUCCUAUGUAGAGUUGGUUCACAAAAUUGUAUAACCUACUAAACAAGUUAUACAACAUUAGUAGACACGUUGUGAUUCCGAUGACUAAAAUUCACAAACCAAAAUUCGACCGUCCGAUAUGAUCAUUAUGACGAAAGAUGUCUAUGGUAAAAAAUUCAACUGGAUCCGACAACGUUAAGGACUCGAUCGAAACGGUUAACCCUAAUCCAUCGUCACUUAUCACACGAAAACGCUCAUAUCUCCCUCUAUAUUACGUGGUUUGGACAAACCUUCCACACAAAAAACUCUCACGUAGAUGAGACACAACUGCCCAUAUACAAAUUUUGAGACAUUUACCUUCCGACGAUAGGGCUCCCCAUAGGGAAUAAUAACGGUAAAUAGUAGACACGUUGUGAUUCCGAUGACUAAAAUUUACAAACCAAAAUUCGACCGUCCGAUAUGAUCAUUAUGAAGAAAGAUGUCUAUGGUAAAAAAUUCAACUGGAUCCGACAAGGUUAAGGACUCGAUCGAAACGGUUAACCCUAAUCCAUCGUCACUUAUCACACGAAAACGCUCAUAUCUCCCUCUAUAUUACGUGGUUUGGACAAACCUUCCACACAAAAAACUCUCACGUAGAUGAGACACAACUGCCCAUAUACAAAUUUUGAGACAUUUACCUUCCGACGAUAGGGCUCCCCAUAGGGAAUAAUAACGGUAAAUAGUAGACACGUUGUGAUUCCGAUGACUAAAAUUUACAAACCAAAAUUCGACCGUCCGAUAUGAUCAUUAUGAAGAAAGAUGUCUAUGGUAAAAAAUUCAACUAGAUUCGACAACGUUAAGGGCUCGAUCGAAACAGUCAACUCUAAUCGGAAAUAAGAAAACUGCAUUUUGAAGCCCUAAACGGACUCGGAUGGCCAAAAAGGCCCAUACAUCAUAGCAUUAGCAAUGAGUUUGACUCGUAGGGCCGUUACGCUUCCGGAAAGGUAUCACAAUAGUCAAUCGGACACCAAAAACCAAAUCUGUAACAUAGUGAAUAAUAAGGGUAAAUUGCAUUGACCGCAACUAUCGGCACCGAGACUUUACCGGAAUACCGUGAUUUUUCAACCGUGGACGUAUUUCACCAUUCUGGUCAUAUCUUAUUUCACAACUAUUUUGCGUUUGAAGGUUCUACGUACAGUUUUUUUUUUCCCAGAUGAGUUGUUGUCUAGAUCUGCAAAUAUAAAGCACUUUAGCCGACGAAAUUAUAUUUUUCGUCGGCUAAACUUUUAAAAAUUUCGUCAGCUAAAGUUCACAGACUAUAGCCGACGAAAAAAAUUAUUCAGACGACGAAAUUUUAAUUUCGUCGGCUAAAGUUGACCAUAGCCGACGAAAAUUUUUAAUUAGCUGAAGAAGGGAAAUUUCGUCGGCUAAAGUCCACUUUAGCCGACCAAAAAAUAAUUCGUCGGCCUGGUUUUUUUAUUUUCAUCGGCUAAAGUCUUUCUUCUGGUAGUGUUAAAAUUACUCAAAACAAAUUGACACAAACGUUAGCGUGUCUUAUGAGGCUAGUAUUUUAUAACCAUUCCCAAUAUGAUAGUGUUAAAACUGCAAAACCACGUACUCUAGGAUUUCAAAAAAAUUAUUCUAUCUUUGUCCUACUAGGGGACGUUGUUGUUGGACGGGAUUCUAGGGCGGGCAAAUGGUAGCUAAGCCCUACAGCAGGUUGGCGGUGGAAUGAGAGAGAGAGAGAGGUUGUUCAUCGGUGCAGACUGAGAUGCUGUGGGAAGAUUUGUAUUGCAAAUUUGCAAUGCGGUGUUAUUCCGGUGGGGGGGAGGAUGUUGGCGCCGGGUAAGAGCGAUCAUUCUGACCUAUUCAAAAGGGCGAUGACAUGGAGCGGUAAAGUGAUGAGAUGGAGAAAGCGAGGCGGCGACUUGGCUAGUUUGUGGUUUUGAUUCGAGUCUCUUUGCUCCGAUUUGUUUGUUGUUGUUGAAGGGUGGUGUACUGUCUCUAUAAUUUGAGAUGGGUCAAGGAUGGUGGUUCUUCCUUGGUGGUGACCGACGUUGGCGAUAGACGUUGGCGGUGGACGACGUAUCUGCAUUCAGGUUUUUCAACCUCUUGGGCCGGAUCUAGGGUGGCCUUUUCCUUGAGCUCCAAAAGGCUUUGGCUGGGCCUGGGUUCCCCUUGGGCCUAAGUUUUGUUGGGUCUAUUUUGUUUUAGUUUUUCACUUUUUACGUCGGUUAGUUCUUGUUGAUCAAUGUAAUGGGGAAGUUAUUUGUACAUAUAUGCUGGUAAUUUUGGUAUAUAUAUAGUGUUUGAAAUGGUUGAUUCUUCUUGAGGGUAACUAUAAGGAUGUUAUCGAGACUUCUGGAUUAAAUUAAAUUACAGUUGAACCUUUUCGGUUCUUAUCCACUGUAAUUCAUUACCAGGACCAAUGUUCUAAAAGGCGCUAGGCGCUAGGCGGGCGGUAACCCACAGCCUAGAGCCUGGACAGCCUAGGCGAGGAUUAGGCGGGGACUAGGCGAUUUGUAUUUUUUAAGAUUUAUUAAUUAAAAAUAUAUAUUUUAUGCAAUUUAAUAUUUGAAAACGGUCAAAUAUAGAUAAAUUAUUCAACAUAAUCUAGUCAUACUCAUUUAUAAAAUAAAUUAUAACUAAAAUUUAGCAUAACUUCCUGUAAAAAUGAGCAACAACAGCAAUAAACAUAUACACUUCUAAUUUUAAACACACAAUUAACUCUUAUACUCUCAUACUCCCCACAAUAUAACAAUCCCACACAAAAAGAAAACAAAAAUAGCCGUAGAGCUUAGCAGCCUAGGCGGGCAAGGCGGCAUCUAGGCGGGCUAGGCGGCAUUUAGGCGAGCUAGGCGGCCGCCUAAUCGCCCACAGCCUGGCACAAAGGCCUGGAAGAAAAGCGAGACGGCUUGUUACAGCCUAGAGCCUAGGCGGGGACUAGGCGGUCCUAGGCGGGGCCUUUUAGAAGCUUGACCAGGACAAGCACUUUAGCCGACGAAAAAUUUUCGUCGGCCCGUUAUCCUAAUUCGUCGGCUAAAGUCUUAGCCGACGAGCCUUCGUCGGCUAUAGUGUCGUCGGGAAAAGGUCGUCGGCGAUGGCUUUAGCCGACGAACCUUGAGACCGUCGUCGGCUAUUAUCCAAACUUUAGCCGACGAACUAUUUUGUCAUCGGCUUUUGUUCAUGCAUUUAAGCCGACGAAAAUACUUCGUCGGCUAUUGUUCCAGACUUUAGCUGACGACAUCCUAUUUCGUUGGCUAUACUCCCAGACUUAAGCCAACGUAACAAAAAUAUUCGUCGGCUUUACUCCCAGACUUUAACCGACAGAACAGAGAUAUUCGUCGGCUAAAGUAUGGUUUAGCCGACGAAACAUGCCAUAAUUCGCGGGCUAAACCCUAUGGAAAAAAAAUUAAGAAUGCUAUAGCCGACGAAUUGUGGCAUGUUUCGUCAGCUAUAACUCCAUUCCAGUAAAAAAAAUACGUGAAAUUUCUAAAUUAUCAUUCCAAGCAAGCUGCAAAAAACACUAAAACAAUUCUAUAUAUAUAACCAACAAGAAGCACAUAAAACUAUAUAAGGUACCAACUACACAAAAUCUAGAUAGUUUAAAUCAAUAUCCGAUUCUGGGGCCUGCUGGUGAGGAGAUUGCGGCGGCAGAGGUAACUGUAUAGGCGCAGGCAUGGGCGGAGGUGGAAGUCUCUGAAGCUGGGCAGCUGUAAAAUCCUGGAAGUACUGGAACAUCUGCUGAUGCUGGGCCUGCUGGGCGGCAUGUAGGGCUCUAGCAUAGGCUCUAUAUUCGAUGAUCUGGGCGGCAUGAGCGGCAACCUGAGCAGUCGAGGCUCUCAACUUCCGACUCUAGUUGAGUCGUCGUGCUGCUAGUCGAGGCUGCCUUUCGUUGAAAUCCUGGAGUGGUCUUCAGGACCCCCUGGCCCUUCUUUCCUAGACCCCGGCAGUAGAAGUUGUUUUCUCGCAGUGGGAAGGCUGUGCCCAUGAUACUCGCCCCAACCCUCGGAUCUGAAGUGUCGAUCCGGGAUAUGGCUUCGGACAUCUCUUCCUCCUGCGUGUCCGGCCAUGUCUCCCUCACUAUAGCACUCAUCACCUCGUCACUAGCCUCCUUCACCUUUGCCUAAUUGGAUAGAAAAAAAAUUAUUAAUUAACAUUUUGACAUAUAUAAGUAAAAUUAAAAAUUCCGUAAAAAGGAAAAAUUACUUACUAUAUCCUCCUGGGAGUCAGGAUAUGUCUUCUCGUACGUAUAGACGUACUGGUUGACCUCUGGAUGUUCCCUGGCCGCCUCGUCCAUGAAGACAGCGAACGGUCUAGAACCGGCAUGAUGGUUCCUUGUGUUGCGUUGCCGGUUGACACGACCCACCCCAAAUUUCACCCUGAAACCCAGAGUAAGUCGUGCGGGGACCACCUCCAAGGAAAAUUUACCGAAAAAUCGGCAUAACCUCCCUUGAAAAUGGACAACCCUUCCUAUUAACACCUGCAAACACUUCUGAAAAUUUAAAUCCAACCUUAAACUCCUGGAACCUUCGUGCUCCCCAUAUCACAACAUCUCCCAAUUUAAUUACCAAUUUAAACAAGAUAAUCUCAUAGCCAACAGCCACAGUUCAGAGCAACUCUAUUUGAAAGGAAAUAAACUAGAAAUAUAAAAAUGAGCGGAAGCUACACUAUUGACUAUGCCUCUUCUCCAAAUACGUCCGACCACAACUAUGCAAUCCUGCAAACUGGGCAUUUUUAAAACGAAGAGCCCAGGGGAAAACAUUUGAAAACGAAACGUUAGAGUGAGUGGACAAAAAUAAAUUUACGAAUAAAAUAUUUGUUUCCCCAAAACAAUUUCCAAAGAAANNNNN
RNAcentral lists this long non-coding RNA (7210 nucleotides) under Fragaria vesca (wild strawberry). RNAcentral's name for it is "long non-coding RNA (FVES_LNC003391)". The record is from RNAcentral. Lineage: Eukaryota; Viridiplantae; Streptophyta; Magnoliopsida; Rosales; Rosaceae.